AUUCCAGCUCCAAUAGCGUAUAUUAAAGUUGUUGCAGUUAAAAAGCUCGUAGUUGGAUUUCUGGUCCUUCGUUUAUGUCCUCCGAAAGGAGUGUACGUACGCGGGGGGCCAUCCUCUCGAAGACUGCGUGUGCUCUUAACUGAGUGUGCGGAGGAUUCGGGACCUUUACUUUGAAAAAAUUAGAGUGUUCAAAGCAGGCCAUCGCUUGAAUACAUUAGCAUGGAAUAAUGGAAUAGGACUUUGGUUCUAUUUUGUUGGUUUCUAGGACUAAAGUAAUGAUUAAUAGGGACAGUUGGGGGCAUUAGUAUUUAAUUGUCAGAGGUGAAAUUCUUAGAUUUAUGAAAGACUAACUUCUGCGAAAGCAUUUGCCAAGGAUGUUUUCAUCA
This 386-nucleotide ribosomal RNA is filed under the name Choanoflagellata sp. RNAcentral's name for it is "partial small subunit ribosomal RNA". It matches the Rfam family "Eukaryotic small subunit ribosomal RNA", at positions 582 to 975 of the family's 1831-position model. The record is from RNAcentral. Lineage: Eukaryota; Choanoflagellata.